CUUUCUGCCCCUGGUGAAACUCCCCCACCCGCUUCCCUAUUCCUUAACUACAAAAUCCUCAGCUUUUGAAGCAUGUAAUCUGUGUUCUCCUGAACUCUGGCCAUUGCUGGUGGGUCCCGUACCCUGAUCAUGGUGCAGCCAGCUCUUGAGACAUCACCUCUCAGGGCACGGGAAGAAAAGCGUCCUUUGCAAACCUGGCGGGUCACCUGAUCACACCUGCGUGCUGUCUCAGGCUCCAGCCUCAGGAAACGCAAGCAAAUCAGUUUCUAUGACGGAAGCCACCCGCUGAGUGAUAUUCUACUAGGGCAGCCCCAGCUGACAAUGCAUCCCACAGUCGGGGCUGGUCUGACUCUGCGAAGGUUUCUUCAGGUGCUGGACUUUUAUACCACCAGAAGAGUGUACUGACAGAGGCUUUGAGAUACCGCGGACAUGACGUAUUCUAAUGUUAAGUGGGGUCGACAGGCUACAAAUCAUGGCUUCUAGCACAGCCUCAGCUAUGUCAGGAGAAAAAAAUCAUGCAAAAA
Long non-coding RNA from Peromyscus leucopus (white-footed mouse), 524 nucleotides. RefSeq lists it as uncharacterized. NCBI's taxonomy places the organism in Eukaryota, Metazoa, Chordata, Mammalia, Rodentia, Cricetidae. The transcript has 2 exons. The record is from RefSeq and is a predicted model, not a curated record.